This 119-nucleotide ribosomal RNA is filed under the name Pteropus alecto (black flying fox). The record is from RNAcentral. Lineage: Eukaryota; Metazoa; Chordata; Mammalia; Chiroptera; Pteropodidae.
GUCUACGGCCAUACCACCCUAAAUACGCCCGAUCUUGUCUGAUCUCAGAAGCUAAGCAGGGUCGGGCCUGUUUAGUACUUGGAUAGGAGAUCACCUAGGAAGACCUGGUGCUGUAGGCA